Molecule: ribosomal RNA, 476 nt
Filed under: uncultured bacterium
Lineage: Bacteria
Description: partial 16S ribosomal RNA
Rfam family: Bacterial small subunit ribosomal RNA
Source: RNAcentral
GAUGAACGCUGGCGGCGUGCUUAACACAUGCAAGUCGAGCGAGUGAGUUCUUCGGAACGAUCUAGCGGCGGACGGGUGAGUAACACGUGGGCAACCUGCCUCAUAGAGGGGAAUAGCCUCCCGAAAGGGAGAUUAAUACCGCAUAAAAUUAUCGAGUGGCAUCACAUGAUAAUCAAAGGAGUAAUCCGCUAUGAGAUGGGCCCGCGGCGCAUUAGCUAGUUGGUGAGGUAACGGCUCACCAAGGCGACGAUGCGUAGCCGACCUGAGAGGGUGAUCGGCCACAUUGGGACUGAGACACGGCCCAGACUCCUACGGGAGGCAGCAGUGGGGAAUAUUGCACAAUGGGGGAAACCCUGAUGCAGCAACGCCGCGUGAGUGAUGAAGGUCUUCGGAUUGUAAAGCUCUGUCUCUGGGGACGAUAAUGACGGUACCCAAGGAGGAAGCCACGGCUAACUACGUGCCAGCCGCCGCCGUAA